UGGGAUAGCUCAGUUGGUAGAGCAUGGGACUCUUAAUCACAGGGCUGUGGAUCUGAGCCCCACAUGGGGCAAAA
Molecule: non-coding RNA, 74 nt
Organism: Podarcis lilfordi (Lilford's wall lizard)
Lineage: Eukaryota; Metazoa; Chordata; Lepidosauria; Squamata; Lacertidae
Source: the annotation of a GenBank genome assembly